Molecule: long non-coding RNA, 494 nt
Filed under: Felis catus (domestic cat)
Lineage: Eukaryota; Metazoa; Chordata; Mammalia; Carnivora; Felidae
Description: lncRNA (ENSFCAG00000043843.2)
Source: RNAcentral
CUCCUUCCCUGCCGGCACCUUUUCACCCAGACUAGUGGUUCUCACACCUCAGGGCACACACCAGAACCCCUUCUGUAACUCGCCGAACCUGCACGCCUUGCGCCUCCGCACCGUGUGGCAGAAAGAACAGGAAGACAUUGGUAUCAGAUGCGAUUUGAAUUCUGCUUGUGCUCCGUACUGGUUGUGUGACCAUGAGAAGUUACUCCACUUUUUGGAGCCCUAGUUUCCUACUCUGUACAAUGAUAAGCUUGACAGAGACCUUGGGAGUCCUACUGUACAAGGCCAUGCAGUUGUGCUCACCCUUUACGACCAACCUGGCAGAUACACUCAUCCCGGUGCCUGCAAUGCCCAGAAGACUUACAGUUUGGGGAGAAGUGUGGUAUUUUCGUUUGGUCUUGGACUAUGUAGAUGCCUGUCAAUGAGAAGGAAUGUCGGGUGACCAUUGUUGAAAGGAAGGAAGGAAGAGGUCAAAGAAACCCAAUGCUAUAAAUCUU